CACGACCGUAGCUGAGAUCCCUGGUCUUCAAACUCAAAACCAGAAGCAAGAAGAUGUUGCAAUGUGUGUGUCCACCCUCAACAACCAGACGGAGAAAGUGUUCACAAUAAGGAAUGCUACAGCUCACGACUGUGAUGAUAUCCUACGCCUCAUCAAAGUAAGAACAUGACAUUGACUUUUAAAUGCCCUUGAAUUCUUUGUGUGACCUUUGUACAGCUUGAGUAACCUUAUUGUACCAUUGCUUUCCUGCUUGAUAGGAACUUGCAGAUUACGAACACAAGGAAAAUGCAGUAAAACUAACUGAAAAAGGU
Non-coding RNA from Pelobates cultripes (western spadefoot toad), 311 nucleotides. Lineage: Eukaryota; Metazoa; Chordata; Amphibia; Anura; Pelobatidae. The record is from the annotation of a GenBank genome assembly.